CCUGAGACUGGGUAAUUUUUAAAGAAAAGAGGUUAUUCGGGAGGCUGAGGUGGGAGGAUCUCUUGAGCCCAGGGGUUCUGGGCUGUAGUGCGCUAUGCCGAUCGGGUGUCCGCACUACGGUCAAUAUGGUGACCUCCCGGGAGCGGGGGACCACCAGGUUGCCUAAGGAGAGGUGAACCGACCCAGGUCGGACACAGAGCAGGUCAAAACUCCCAUGCUGAUCAGUAAUGGGAUUGCGCCUGUGAAUAGCCACUGCACUCCAGCCUGGGCAACAUAGCGAGACCCUGUCUCU
RNAcentral lists this signal recognition particle RNA (292 nucleotides) under Saimiri boliviensis boliviensis (Bolivian squirrel monkey). RNAcentral's name for it is "Metazoan signal recognition particle RNA (ENSSBOG00000002225.1)". It matches the Rfam family "Metazoan signal recognition particle RNA". From Rfam's summary of the family: The signal recognition particle (SRP) is a universally conserved ribonucleoprotein. It is involved in the co-translational targeting of proteins to membranes. The record is from RNAcentral. Lineage: Eukaryota; Metazoa; Chordata; Mammalia; Primates; Cebidae.